This is an RNA transcript of Cryptomeria japonica (Japanese cedar), 2822 nucleotides long. It is a transcript of the gene named pentatricopeptide repeat-containing protein At3g49240, mitochondrial, with no coding region annotated. The transcript has 4 exons. The record is from RefSeq and is a predicted model, not a curated record. NCBI's taxonomy places the organism in Eukaryota, Viridiplantae, Streptophyta, Pinopsida, Cupressales, Cupressaceae.
UUUUUUUAUCAAAGGCCCCCAUAAGAUCCCACCCUUGCCAGGAUUUAAAAUUUUGGUAGGGUUUAAAAUUUUGCGGGGACAGUUUUGUAAGAUGUUGAACUUCUGGGUAUGUGGAAUUUUGUGCGGGUUAUUUACAGUAGAAUAAGCUUUUACAGAUCAAUUUUAUGGUGACAGUUUGUACAAUGUUUAACUUCUGGUUCUCAAGAAUUUUGUGAGGUUUAUUUACAGUAGAAGAAGCUUUUGCAGCUGCAAAAGCAGCAGCCGUGGUCAUGGGUUUAUACAAAAGGCUCACCAGGAUCUUCGGUAGCUAUGCCGCCUCUUCGUCAACUGUUUCAGAUCCUUCAAUAACAUUUAAGUCGGACAUGCGCCAGGUCAUAGAGUCUCAGUUGGUUCUGGAAGCCACCGCAGAGCGGCAAAGGAGAAAGCGCAAGCACUUGGUGGACGCUACAAUACACGAACGGAAAUCCAAGAUGCCCGAGACUAUCAAUCUACUGGCAGGUGAUAAACUUAACCUCCACCACCGCAUUCAAAACCUUUGUCGUGCUAACAAGUUGGAUGAAGCUGUGGUUCUCUUGAAACAAUUACAAUACUUUAGAAUAAGGCCAACAAUUUUCACAUAUAAUACUGCGCUAGGGCAACUUCAACGGGCAGGCCAGCAUGCCAAAGUCUUUGCACUUUUUGAUUUCAUGUGUCUAGCUGAUGUCAUACCUAAUUUGGCCACAUAUAACAUUGUCCUUGCGAGCCACUGUGAAUUGCUAGACAUUGAAACUUCCUUUUCCAUUCUUAAGAAGAUCUAUGAUGCUAUGUUUAUGCCAAGUACUGUGACCUUUAACCAUCUGAUGAAGGCGCAUUUUAGGCUUGAGAAAUAUGAGGAUGCAAUGAAGAUUUUCAAGGAGAUGUUAGAAAAGUGUCAUGGGGUUGACCCAACGACCUAUGCAGCAACAAUUGAAGGAUUUGUUAACGGCGGUGCUAUGGACCAGGCAUCAGAGGUGUAUAUAGAAAUGAAGCAGAGGGGUUCAAUUUUCAGCGAACCAGUUUUCUGUAAUUUGAUUAAGGGUUAUUUUGCUGCCGGGAGAGUUCAGGAGGCAUUGGAUGUUUUUGAGUUUAUACCAGAGAAGGUCGAAGAAACUGUGAUGUCGUACAAUGCUGUGAUGGAUGGGUACUGCAAGGAAGGACAGAUGGGAGAGGCGCUAGGGUUUUUGGAGAGGCUUAGGGAGAGGAAUUUGAUUCCAGAUGUGGCAUCGUUUACGAUCUUGAUGACUGGGUACAUCAGGCAGGGAAACUUGCAGGAGGCUGAGAAGCUCAUCAGGUCAAUGCAGGAGAAGGGAUGUUCUCCAACUGCUGUGUUAUAUAACACUCUGAUGGAUGCCUAUUUCUUGCAAAGUAAGCAUGCAGAGGUUCAGAAAGCGGUUGAGGCGAUGUUGGAAAAGCAGUGUGAACCGGAUGAUAAAACAUAUGAAAUGUUGUUUGAUGGAUUUCUUAAAAUGAGCAAGCUAGACGAGUUUUUGAAAUUAUUUAGGAAAAUGACACAAGUUGGCUUUAAGCCAGAAGUUACUAUCUAUAACAAAUUUUUUACUACUUUGUGCAAUGAAGGGAAGUUAGAUGAAGCUAGUAGGCUUUUCCAUGGGAUGGUGGAUGCAGGGCGGAACCCUGAUGUUUGGACUUACAACAUAUUAAGAGAGGGAUUUAGCAGAGAAGGAAGAAAAGGGGAGCUCAAGAAGCUUUUCCAGAACCUUUUAGAAAUGGGCUUUUUGAGUGAAGAUCUUGUGGCUCAGCUCAAAUUGUAGGAAUGGUGGGUUUGCUAAACAUAAAUACUCAAUUCAAUCAUCGAAGAGAAAUCAAAGAUGAGAGGUACUCUGUAGGUUAAUUCCAUACGGUGCAUGUUUUACAAAUAUAACAAUGAAGUGAUGCUCUGGAAUUUAAUUUGCAUGAAGUGUCUAAUGAUCUUCUAGGCUAGAGCAGGUUUAGAAGAGAUGACAAAUUUUACAAUCUGCAGGGGACCUGAUUGAAUAAGUGUAAUGGGAAUUCAACUUGAAGGUUUUGUCACGAACAGUGCACAUAUGGUGUGGAAAACAAAAAAAAGGUAAUUACAGUGUUAGGUUUGUGCUUUGGGAAAAUACUAUAUUUUUAUGGGUUUAGUGUACUACAUUUUAUUUCUAGGUAACAAUAUUUCUGUCUAAAUUACUUUUGCAAAAUAGUUAUCUUAGCACAAUUGGUAUGUCAAAUGGAUGUCUUGCAAAGCGCAAAUUCAUCUUACAUGCUACUCAUUUACUUGCAAUUCUUUGUCCAUGUAUGUACUUUGUAUGGUCCUGUGCACAUCUUUUCUUAUCUAUAGAUUGCAACACAGAGAUAGUAGGGUUUUUCUGGUCAGUUAAUGGCAAUAUCUAUUGCAAAUUAGGUUGUGCAGAUCACUGAUUUUGUAAAUGCUAAAUUGAUGCUGGCAUUGUUUAUCAAAUCAUGACGGAUUAUGCUGUAACAAGGGAAAUAAGAGGUUGGAUGCCUGAAUGCUUGGGUCUCAGAUAGGUGGAUAUCUUGUAAUCUUGAUGGAAGAUUAGGUUCCCUAUUUAGUCAAAUUAUUAUGAAGACAAUUCAUUAUUUUCUGAUAUAUUAUGUAAGGCAGGCAUUACGAUGGCAGAAUAUUUUUCAUUUUGAGCAUCGGGAGUUCACGAGUUUAUUGUAGUCAUUUUCCGUAUAUACUCUAGCACACUUGGUGUGUUAUUUGCAUUCCAGAUUCGACAUGCUCACCAUAUUGGCUGUCAAUAGUUUUGUUGAGGUUGAUUUUGCUUUGAGCAAAUGCUAGUGAUAUUUAUUCAUUCAGAUUA